This 229-nucleotide unclassified non-coding RNA is filed under the name Hevea brasiliensis (rubber tree). Lineage: Eukaryota; Viridiplantae; Streptophyta; Magnoliopsida; Malpighiales; Euphorbiaceae. The record is from RNAcentral.
UGCAGAGUUGCUCCAGAUGUGAAGAAUAAAAUACAUCUUUUUAUUUUUGGCCAAACUGUUGAAAAAGCAAAACCUUUUCAACUUUUCGCAAUUAUGUCCUAUCCUUCCAAUUAUACCAAUUGUCCCAAUUUUAAAAGUUCGUAUUAAUUUUGUCCAUUUGAACAAUUUGACCAAAAUUGGUCAAAAUUAGAAUAAAAUUUAAUAUUCUAAAGGUAUUUCUUUUCUAUAA